GACGAACGCUGGCGGCGUGCUUAACACAUGCAAGUCGAACGGAAAGGCCCUGCUUUUGUCUGGUGCUCGAGUGGCGAACGGGUGUGUAACACGGGAGUAACCUGCCCUUGGCUGUGGGAUAACUUCAGGAGACUGGUGCUAAUACCGGAUAGGUGCUCCAGCUGCAGGGGGGGGGUUGGAAAGCUUCGGCGGUAGUGGAUAGACUCGGGGCUAAUCAGCUGGUGGGGGGGGUAGUGGCAUACCAAGGCUUUGACGGGUAGCCGGCAUGAGAGGGUGAACAGCGACAUUGGGACUAAGAUAGGCCCCAGUGUCCAACGGGAGGCAGCAGUGGGGAACCUUGCACAGUGGGGGGAAGCCUGAUGCAGAAACGCUGCGUGCGGAAAGACCGCCUUCGGGUUGUAAACCGCUGUCGGCUGAGACGAAGCUUGAGUGACGGUAAUGGGUGAAGAAGCACCGGCUAACUACGUG
RNAcentral lists this ribosomal RNA (468 nucleotides) under uncultured bacterium. Its description in RNAcentral is "partial 16S ribosomal RNA". It matches the Rfam family "Bacterial small subunit ribosomal RNA", at positions 28 to 507 of the family's 1533-position model. The record is from RNAcentral.